UCACUUACCUGGACGGGGUCAAUGAGCGAUCAAGAAGGUUCAUGGCCUAGGUUGGUGACCUCCAUUGCACUUUGGAGGGGUGCCCGCCUAAGGUCGGCCCAAGCGGUCGAGCCGACGUCAUAAUUUGUGGCAGCAGUGGCCUGCGUUCGCGCGGCCACUAC
Molecule: small nuclear RNA, 161 nt
Filed under: Helianthus annuus (common sunflower)
Lineage: Eukaryota; Viridiplantae; Streptophyta; Magnoliopsida; Asterales; Asteraceae
Also listed under: 1 other name
Description: U1 spliceosomal RNA
Rfam family: U1 spliceosomal RNA
About the family: U1 is a small nuclear RNA (snRNA) component of the spliceosome (involved in pre-mRNA splicing). Its 5' end forms complementary base pairs with the 5' splice junction, thus defining the 5' donor site of an intron.
Source: RNAcentral